GUGAAUCAUCGAAUUUUUGAACACAAAUUGCACUCUCUGGUUUUCCGGGAGAGUAUGCCUGUUUGGGGGUCAGACUAAAAAAAUCGACAUAGUUGCUGUUUCGCGGUGACAUUCGGAGGAAAUUGGGUCAUCUUAAAUCUUGGGGUUUUAAGCGGCUAAAAAUUUUCUUUACGAUUCUACGAACGUUUAUAAGAUUUUACUUCUUUUACGUUUAAGGUAUCGAUCUUUAUUAGACGUGGCCGUUGCAUCGGAUC
Molecule: unclassified non-coding RNA, 254 nt
Filed under: Glomus sp.
Lineage: Eukaryota; Fungi; Glomeromycota; Glomeromycetes; Glomerales; Glomeraceae
Description: partial contains 5.8S ribosomal RNA and internal transcribed spacer 2
Rfam family: 5.8S ribosomal RNA (bases 1-72)
Source: RNAcentral